AGAGCGAACGCUGGCGGCAGGCCUAACACAUGCAAGUCGAACGGACCCUUCGGGGUUAGUGGCGGACGGGUGAGUAACACGUGGGAACGUGCCUUUUGGUUCGGAAUAGCUCCUGGAAACGGGUGGUAAUGCCGAAUGUGCCCUUCGGGGGAAAGAUUUAUCGCCAUUAGAGCGGCCCGCGUCUGAUUAGCUAGUUGGUGAGGUAAUGGCUCACCAAGGCGACGAUCAGUAGCUGGUCUGAGAGGAUGACCAGCCACAUUGGGACUGAGACACGGCCCAAACUCCUACGGGAGGCAGCAGUGGGGAAUCUUGCGCAAUGGGCGAAAGCCUGACGCAGCCAUGCCGCGUGAAUGAUGAAGGUCUUAGGAUUGUAAAAUUCUUUCACCGGGACGAUAAUGACGGUACCGGAGAAGAAGCCCCGGCUAACUUCGUGCCAGCAGCCGAC
Molecule: ribosomal RNA, 445 nt
Filed under: uncultured soil bacterium
Lineage: Bacteria
Description: bacterial SSU rRNA
Rfam family: Bacterial small subunit ribosomal RNA
Source: RNAcentral